Molecule: ribosomal RNA, 253 nt
Filed under: uncultured bacterium
Lineage: Bacteria
Description: partial 16S ribosomal RNA
Rfam family: Bacterial small subunit ribosomal RNA
Source: RNAcentral
AACGUAGGAGACAAACGUUAUCCGGAUUUACUGGGCGUAAAGGGCGUGUAGGUGGUUUUGUAAGUCUGGCGUGAAAUUUUUCGGCUUAACCGGGAAAGGUCGUCGGAUACUGCAGGACUAGAGGACGGUAGAGGCGUGUGGAAUUCCGGGUGUAGUGGUGAAAUGCGUAGAGAUCCGGAGGAACACCAGUGGCGAAAGCGGCUCACUGGACCACAACUGACGCUGAGGCGCGAAAGCUAGGGGAGCAAACAGG